This 664-nucleotide long non-coding RNA is filed under the name Gadus morhua (Atlantic cod). RNAcentral describes it as "lncRNA (ENSGMOG00000032900.1)". The record is from RNAcentral. Lineage: Eukaryota; Metazoa; Chordata; Actinopteri; Gadiformes; Gadidae.
GGAAUUUCUAUCCGUUACCGAAAGGACACAGAGAUCAGAGUCACUGUCAGUGUCCAAAGUACCGUCAUGUGCCGAAGUGCUGGCUUCAGGCUGUGCAGUUAAAGCAGUAAAUGCUGGUCUCAUUGGCUGUUGGUUUAUCAGCCUGGGCCAUCACAACUUUUGGACCCCAAGGUGUUGGCUCCUCUUGUUUUCUCUGUCCAGAGACAACCCGAGCAGUUGGCUGGUUCACCUUCUACAAUGAGAAACGGCCACUCAUCACACAGAGUCUUGUCAUCCCCCUCCGGUUGAGCAAACUGUAAUGACAUAGCACAAAGACGCUGCCCUCCAGAGUGGCUGGCACAGCAGCUUCUGGAACAGGUCGAGGAGGAGGUACGCCCUCCAGAGUGGCUGGCACAGCAGCUUCUGGCACAGGUCGAGGGGGAGGUACCAGCUUCGAAGGUUUAGCAAUCCUUGCUGGAGUUUGAAGUGCCUGGAAAAUAAUUGUAAAUCAUUGGCAAAACAAUACCUACACAGAGAAUGUUGGACUAUCUCUUGUAGUAAAGGCGAAAUCAAAAAAUAGUUGUUCCUGUGUUUCAACCAAAAAAAAGUACAUAUUUCAAUGAGAAAUUACCAACCUCAAGGCGGGCCUUCUUUCCUUUGGAGACCACAGCCGUGGUUCCAUGUG